CCUACGGGUGGCAGCAGUAGGGAAUUUUCGGCAAUGGGGGGAACCCUGACCGAGCAACGCCGCGUGAACGAAGAAGUUAUUCGUAAUGUAACGUUCUUUUAACAGGGAAGAAAGAGAAAUUUGACGGUACCUGAAGAAUAAGCUCCGUCUAACUACGUGCCAGCAGCCGCGGUAAUCCGUAGGGAGCGAGCGUUAUCGGGAAUUAUUGGGCGAAAGGGGUGCGUAGAUGGCAUAGUAAGUCUUUUGUAAAAAUGCUGGGCUCAAACCAGUAGGGCAAAAGAUACUGCAAAGCUAGAGUAUAACAGAGGCAAGUGGAAUUACAGGUGUAGCGGUAAAAUGCGUAAAUAUAUGUAAGAACACCAGUGGCGAAGGCGGCUUGCUGGGUCGAUACUGACAUUGAGGCACGAAAGCGUGGGGAGCAAACAGGAUUAGAUACCCUGGUAGUC
Molecule: ribosomal RNA, 446 nt
Filed under: uncultured bacterium
Lineage: Bacteria
Description: partial 16S ribosomal RNA
Rfam family: Bacterial small subunit ribosomal RNA
Source: RNAcentral